This 251-nucleotide ribosomal RNA is filed under the name uncultured prokaryote. Its description in RNAcentral is "partial 16S rRNA". It matches the Rfam family "Bacterial small subunit ribosomal RNA", at positions 525 to 775 of the family's 1533-position model. The record is from RNAcentral.
ACGUAGGAGGCAAACGUUAUCCGGAUUUACUGGGCGUAAAGCGCGUGUAGGUGGUUUGGUAAGUAGAGCGUGAAAGCUCCUGGCUCAACUGGGAGAGGUCGUUCUAAACUGCCGGACUAGAGGAUGGUAGAGGGAGGUGGAAUUCCGGGUGUAGCGGUGGAAUGCGCAGAUAUCCGGAGGAACACCGGUGGCGAAGGCGGUUUCCUGGGCUGAUACUGACACUGAGGCGCGAAAGCGUGGGGAGCAAACAG